GAUGAACGCUGGCGGCGUGCCUAACACAUGCAAGUCGAGCGAACGGACGACAACCUUGCUUCUCGGAUGUUAGUGGCGGAUGGGUGAGUAACACGCGGAUAACCUACCCGUAAGUCAGGUGUCACUUCGUGAAACCGGAGCGAAUACCGCGUAAUAUUAUGCACCGUAUGGGCCAAAAGUGAAAUACGGUCUUGCUGUCACCUCUAGAUGGAUCCGCCCUGCAUUAGCCAGUUGGUAAGGUAACGGCUUACCCAGGCAACGAUGCAUAGCCGACCUGAGAGGGUGAUGGGCUACCCUGGAACUGAGACACGGUCCAGACUCCUACACGAGGACGCAGUAGGGACUCUUCCGCAAUGGAGGAGUGCCUGACAGAGCAACGCCGCGUGAGUGAUGAAGGUCUUCGGAUCGUAAAACUCUGUUAUUAGGCAAGAACAAAUGUGUAAGUAACUGUGAACAUCGUGACGGUACCUAAUCAGAAAGCCACGGCUAACUACGUG
RNAcentral lists this ribosomal RNA (497 nucleotides) under uncultured bacterium. RNAcentral's name for it is "partial 16S ribosomal RNA". It matches the Rfam family "Bacterial small subunit ribosomal RNA", at positions 28 to 507 of the family's 1533-position model. The record is from RNAcentral.